UACGUAGGGGCCAAGCGUUGUCCGGAUUUAUUGGGCGUAAAGAGCUCGUAGGCGGUUCGGCAAGUCAGCUGUGAAAUCUCCACGCUCAACGUGGAGGGGUCAGCUGAUACUGCUGUGACUCGAGUCCGGUAGGGGAGUGUGGAAUUCCUGGUGUAGCGGUGAAAUGCGCAGAUAUCAGGAGGAACACCGAUGGCGAAGGCAGGUCUCUGGGCCACUACUGACGCUGAGAAGCGAAAGCAUGGGGAGCGAACAGG
RNAcentral lists this ribosomal RNA (254 nucleotides) under uncultured bacterium. RNAcentral's name for it is "partial 16S ribosomal RNA". It matches the Rfam family "Bacterial small subunit ribosomal RNA", at positions 524 to 776 of the family's 1533-position model. The record is from RNAcentral.